This 468-nucleotide ribosomal RNA is filed under the name uncultured bacterium. RNAcentral's name for it is "partial 16S ribosomal RNA". It matches the Rfam family "Bacterial small subunit ribosomal RNA", at positions 28 to 507 of the family's 1533-position model. The record is from RNAcentral.
GACGAACGCUGGCGGCGUGCUUAACACAUGCAAGUCGAACGGAAAGGCCCUGCUUUUGUGGGGUGCUCGAGUGGCGAACGGGUGAGUAACACGUGAGUAACCUGCCCUUGACUUUGGGAUAACUUCAGGAAACUGGGGCUAAUACCGGAUAGGAGCUCCUGCUGCAUGGUGGGGGUUGGAAAGUUUCGGCGGUUGGGGAUGGACUCGCGGCUUAUCAGCUUGUUGGGGGGGUAGUGGCUUACCAAGCCUUUGACGGGUAGCCGGCCUGAGAGGGUGACCGGCCACAUUGGGACUGAGAUACGGCGCAGUCUCCUACGGGAGGCAGCAGUGGGGAAUAUUGCACAAUGGGCGGAAGCCUGAUGCAGCAACGCCGCGUGCGGGAUGACGGCCUUCUGGUUGUAAACCGCUUUCGCCUGUGACGAAGCGUGAGUGACGGUAAUGGGUAAAGAAGCACCGGCUAACUACGUG